This is an unclassified non-coding RNA of Ochotona princeps (American pika), 298 nucleotides long. Its record names the gene 7SK. It matches the Rfam family "7SK RNA". From Rfam's summary of the family: 7SK was discovered as an abundant small nuclear RNA in the mid-70s but a possible function has only recently been suggested. Two independent studies have found that 7SK RNA binds the CDK9/cyclin T complex (known as elongation factor P-TEFb). Lineage: Eukaryota; Metazoa; Chordata; Mammalia; Lagomorpha; Ochotonidae. The record is from Ensembl.
GGAGUGAGGGUGAUCUGACUGUGCGGCUGUCACCCCAGUGCUCAGCGGGGUUGAUUUGGCUGAUCUGGCUGGCUAGGGAUGUCCCUUUCCUCCCUCGGCGCUCCAUGUGUGUCCCACCCGGAGCUGCGCGCGGAGUGGAAGGGCACGACCUUCCCGGUUAGAGCAGAACUAUUCUUCGGUCAAGGGUAUACGAGUGGCUGUGCUCCCCUGCUAGAACCUCCAGACAGGUUCCCAAGAAGGGCAAUGUGAUCACAGAUAAGACUCGGCUCCUAGGAAAUGACGUCUUAGGGACCUGUUU